CAUAGCCACGGGAAUACGUAGGUGGCAAGCGUUGUCCGGAAUUAUUGGGCGUAAAGGGCUCGCAGGCGGUUUCUUAAGUCUGAUGUGAAAGCCCCCGGCUCAACCGGGAAGGGUCAUUGGAAACUGGGAAACUUGAGUGCAGAAGAGGAGAGUGGAAUUCCACGUGUAGCGGUGAAAUGCGUAGAGAUGUGGAGGAACACCAGUGGCGAAGGCGACUCUCUGGUCUGUAACUGACGCUGAGGAGCGAAAGCGUGGGGAGCGAACAGGAUUAGAGACCCCUGUAGUCCCUGUCUCUUAUACC
This 301-nucleotide ribosomal RNA is filed under the name uncultured bacterium. Its description in RNAcentral is "partial 16S ribosomal RNA". It matches the Rfam family "Bacterial small subunit ribosomal RNA", at positions 510 to 808 of the family's 1533-position model. The record is from RNAcentral.